AGCCUGAACGCUGGCGGCGUGGCUAAGACAUGCAAGUCGAACGGACGUAGCAAUACGUCAGUGGCGGACGGGUGAGUAAUGAAUCGCUAAUGUACCCCGGAGCCAGAGAUAGCUACCCGAAAGGGUAGGUAAUACCUGAUGAGACCACGAACAGGCACCUGUUUGUGCUCAAAGCCGCAAGGCACUCUGGGAGCAGGCGAUUUUGAUCAGCUAGUUGGUGAGGUAAUGGCUCACCAAGGCGACGACGCAUAGCCGGACUGAGAGGUUGCCGGCACAUUGGGACUGAGACACUGCCCAGACUCCUACGGGGGGCUGCAGUAACGAAUCUUCCGCAAUGACACGAAAGUGUGACGGAGCGACGCCGCGUGUAGGACGAAGCCCGUUACGGGUGUAAACUACGUGUACAGGGGAAAGAAAGGUUCUAGGAAUCUUAACCCCGAAGUAGGAAGGGACGACGUAAACUCGUAGUGACCAGCAGCCGC
This 482-nucleotide ribosomal RNA is filed under the name uncultured soil bacterium. RNAcentral's name for it is "bacterial SSU rRNA". It matches the Rfam family "Bacterial small subunit ribosomal RNA", at positions 26 to 518 of the family's 1533-position model. The record is from RNAcentral.